UCCAAGGGGCGCUGGCGCAAAGCCGGCUGAGACACAGCGUAACGCCGCUGUGACCCUCGAACCUGAUCCGGGUAAUGCCGGCGUAGGAAUGCGGAGAUAUU
This 101-nucleotide non-coding RNA is filed under the name bovine gut metagenome. RNAcentral's name for it is "TPP riboswitch (THI element)". The stretch from base 3 to 91 matches the Rfam family "TPP riboswitch aptamer (THI element)", at positions 9 to 90 of the family's 105-position model. Rfam says of the family: Vitamin B(1) in its active form thiamin pyrophosphate (TPP) is an essential coenzyme that is synthesised by coupling of pyrimidine and thiazole moieties in bacteria. The previously detected thiamin-regulatory element, thi box was extended, resulting in a new, highly conserved RNA secondary structure, the THI element, which is widely distributed in eubacteria and also occurs in some archaea. The record is from RNAcentral.